Molecule: long non-coding RNA, 517 nt
Filed under: Marmota monax (woodchuck)
Lineage: Eukaryota; Metazoa; Chordata; Mammalia; Rodentia; Sciuridae
Source: RNAcentral
UCCUACAGGUGUCCUCCUUGCUCAGUGCAUUCCGGCCACAUUGACCUCUCUACAGUUUGAAUACCUCGCCGGCCUGUCCCUCCCCAGGUUCCUUGCUGUUUCCUGCCUGCAACAUCUUUUCUCCACUUAUCUGCUUGGUUUUCUCCCUCACCUCCAUCAAGUCUUGGCUCAAAUAUCAUUUUCCUGUGGUAUAGUGAUCAGUGCACACCUGGAGCCGCAGCUGCUAGGGAGGCUGAGGCAGGAGGAUCCCUUGAACCCAGGAGCGCAAGGCCAACCUGGGCAACAUAAUGAAACCCUGGAUCAAAAAAAAAAAGUGGCAAAAUAUAUAGAACUUAUGUUCUUAAUCAUCAUAGGUGUAAUGAUUAACUCAUUUCAUAUUAAUAUGCAACUAUCACCACCAUCCAUCUCCAGAACUUUAUGUUUCUAAACUAAUUUUCUGCCACGUUAAACAGUAACUCUCCAGUCUCCUUUCCCCAGCCCUUGCCACUCACCAUUGUACUUUGCUAUGAUUUGAGCU